AAAUGUCGGUGUGGACAUUUCCUCACCAGUUCCUUAAAUCGCUCCCAAGCUUCAUAUACCGAUUCUCCACCAUUCUGGCAAAAAUUAUUAAUUUUUCUCCUUAGUUU
Molecule: small nucleolar RNA, 107 nt
Organism: Cannabis sativa
Lineage: Eukaryota; Viridiplantae; Streptophyta; Magnoliopsida; Rosales; Cannabaceae
Source: RefSeq, a predicted model, not a curated record